GACCGACGGGAGCUUGCUCCCUUAGGUCAGCGGCGGACGGGUGAGUAACACGUGGGUAACCUGCCUGUAAGACUGGGAUAACUCCGGGAAACCGGGGCUAAUACCGGAUGCUUGAUUGAACCGCAUGGUUCCAAUCAUAAAAGGUGGCUUUCAGCUACCACUUACUGAUGGACCCGCGGCGCAUUAGCUAGUUGGUGAGGUAACGGCUCACCAAGGCGACGAUGCGUAGCCGACCUGAGAGGGUGAUCGGCCACACUGGGACUGAGACACGGCCCAGACUCCUACGGGAGGCAGCAGUAGGGAAUCUUCCGCAAUGGACGAAAGUCUGACGGAGCAACGCCGCGUGAGUGAUGAAGGUUUUCGGAUCGUAAAACUCUGUUGUUAGGGAAGAACAAGUACCGUUCGAAUAGGGCGGCACCUUGACGGUACCUAACCAGAAAGCCACGGCUAACUACGUGCCAGCAGCCGCGGUAAUACGUAGGUGGCAAGCGUUGUCCGGAAUUAUUGGGCGUAAAGCGCGCGCAGGCGGUUUCUUAAGUCUG
RNAcentral lists this ribosomal RNA (542 nucleotides) under uncultured Bacilli bacterium. Its description in RNAcentral is "bacterial SSU rRNA". It matches the Rfam family "Bacterial small subunit ribosomal RNA", at positions 68 to 591 of the family's 1533-position model. The record is from RNAcentral. Lineage: Bacteria; Bacillati; Bacillota; Bacilli.